This 315-nucleotide long non-coding RNA is filed under the name Volvox carteri. Its description in RNAcentral is "long non-coding RNA (VCAR_LNC003799)". Lineage: Eukaryota; Viridiplantae; Chlorophyta; Chlorophyceae; Chlamydomonadales; Volvocaceae. The record is from RNAcentral.
ACACAUGUUGGCCCGCUCCCGUGUCGCGGUUAAUCAACACACACGCACACACACACACAGGCACACGCACACACACACAUCUGGCUCUUUGACUCCUGUGUCCCUCCGUUCCCUUCCCUCUCAUCCUCCGCAACAGACCACUGACACCACCAAAGCGCUCGGCAAUGCGCCGACAAUUAACGACAUCUAUGACACCACCAGCACCACCUGCUUCCCACAUCAGAAUGGGACCUGAUGUUCCACCAACACUCCUCUCACGCUCUCGCUUCCUCCAUCCCCCUCGCCCUUGCUACGACUCACACCCUCUCGCUCGCG